This is a long non-coding RNA of Sapajus apella (tufted capuchin), 692 nucleotides long. RefSeq lists it as uncharacterized. The record is from RefSeq and is a predicted model, not a curated record. The transcript has 3 exons. Lineage: Eukaryota; Metazoa; Chordata; Mammalia; Primates; Cebidae.
GGGGUGGGCCAUGCACACUUUCGGGGCCCCUUCAGAAGUGAGGUCUUUAACUCAAAACCAGGGGAAGCCAUUGGAGGGUAUUUAAAUGUGCAAGGGGGUGGGGAGUCCCUUGAUCAGAUCUCUAUUGUUGGGACACUGCCUUGCAGAAGGAGGAGGCGCUGGAAGAGGGCCAGAAUGGAAGCAGGAAGACCUGUUGCGAGACUACUGCAGUGGCCCAGGAAACAGACGAUGAGAGCUUGGUCCAGGAUUCUGGCAGUAGGGGUGGGUGGACUUGAGAGCUGUGUAAAAGGUCACUAUGAUGGAGGAGGGAGCUUCAAAAGUGGAUAAAACAAAUACUUUUACUGCCUUCAAGAGCGAUGCCAAAAAGAAGUACCGCAAUGGCUGCAGGAACAAGGGUAAGACAGAGGCAGAGAAGGGCAAGUUCAACCCCUUCUGGCAAGAGGCUGCAGGCGGUUUGAGGAAACCAAGUCAUCACACAGCAAACAUUUAGAGGACCACAGGGCAGACUGUAUGCAGAGCUAUGAAGAUCCCACUUAAGGUGGCCAAAGACGUGUGGGGCCAAGAGGUGUGCACCCCAACAAUCUCAUCCUAGAUGGCCUCCUACGCUGGAAGGAAGAUGCCAGUCUCGCCUUGGAUACCUACAUGCUGAGAUGGCCUACUUUUAAAAGGAAUUAAAGUCCUGUUAAGAAACA